GACGAACGCUGGCGGCGUGCCUAAUACAUGCAAGUUGAGCGCUGAAGGUUGGUACUUGUACCAACUGGAUGAGCAGCGCACGGGUGAGUAACGCGUGGGGAAUCUGCCUUUGAGCGGGGGACAACAUUUGGAAACGAAUGCUAAUACCGCAUAAAAACUUUAAACACAAGUUUUAAGUUUGAAAGAUGCAAUUGCAUCACUCAAAGAUGAUCCCGCGUUGUAUUAGCUAGUUGGUGAGGUAAAGGCUCACCAAGGCGAUGAUACAUAGCCGACCUGAGAGGGUGAUCGGCCACAUUGGGACUGAGACACGGCCCAAACUCCUACGGGAGGCAGCAGUAGGGAAUCUUCGGCAAUGGACGAAAGUCUGACCGAGCAACGCCGCGUGAGUGAAGAAGGGUUUCGGAUCGUAAAACUCGGUUGGUAGAGAAGAACGUUGGUGAGAGUGGAAAGCUCAUCAAGUGACGGUAACUACACAGAAAGGGACGGCUAACUACGUG
Molecule: ribosomal RNA, 497 nt
Filed under: uncultured bacterium
Lineage: Bacteria
Description: partial 16S ribosomal RNA
Rfam family: Bacterial small subunit ribosomal RNA
Source: RNAcentral